CCUACGGGAGGCAGCAGUGGGGAAUAUUGCACAAUGGGCGAAAGCCUGAUGCAGCGACGCCACGUGAGGGAUGACGGCCUUCGGGUUGUAAACCUCUUUCAGCAGGGAAGCGGUACCUGCAGAAGAAGCGCCGGCUAACUACGUGCCAGCAGCCGCGGUAAUACGUAGGGCGCAAGCGUUGUCCGGAAUUAUUGGGCGUAAAGAGCUCGUAGGCGGUCUGUCGCGUCUGGUGUGAAAUCCCAUGGCUCAACUGUGGGCUUGCAUCGGGUACGGGCAGACUAGAGUGCUGUAGGGGAGACUGGAAUUCCUGGUGUAGCGGUGGAAUGCGCAGAUAUCAGGAGGAACACCGAUGGCGAAGGCAGGUCUCUGGGCAGUACUGACGCUGAGGAGCGAAAGCAUGGGGAGCGAACAGGAUUAGAUACCCUUGUAGUC
This 432-nucleotide ribosomal RNA is filed under the name uncultured bacterium. RNAcentral describes it as "partial 16S ribosomal RNA". It matches the Rfam family "Bacterial small subunit ribosomal RNA", at positions 338 to 795 of the family's 1533-position model. The record is from RNAcentral.